GGGGUCUGCUUUGCUGGUCCUUGACGUGAUAAGAUGUUUCUACGUUUUGGAUUUGGCAUCGUCCCUUGGAUGCCCCCGCUCCUAAUCGUCUCAUGGACAAUGAUGGUGCUUCCGGUCACCGCCGAUCCACAUCGGCGGGAGGCUGGACCCACAAAAAAAACCUUGACCUCAAAUCGGGUGAGACUACCCGCUGAACUUAA
This 200-nucleotide unclassified non-coding RNA is filed under the name soil metagenome. RNAcentral's name for it is "partial contains internal transcribed spacer 2 and large subunit ribosomal RNA". The record is from RNAcentral.